Molecule: long non-coding RNA, 1850 nt
Organism: Stegostoma tigrinum
Lineage: Eukaryota; Metazoa; Chordata; Chondrichthyes; Orectolobiformes; Stegostomatidae
Exons: 4
Source: RefSeq, a predicted model, not a curated record
CCUCCUCCCAACCUCCCUGCCCUAAAAGCUACGGACGUAACUUCUGCCAAGAAAACAUUCCCAUGCAACACGCAAAGUUUUGCUCCUCUCUGUAAUCUUUCACAGAGCACUGUGCAUGAAGCCGGGGGAAUGCUCCCUAUUAGGCUCCUCCCCACACUCAGCUAAAAGACCCGAAGUGUGUGAUUAACACAAAUCUACAACCUAAAGCUGAUGUUGAGAACAGCUUGCUUCCCUUUGGAAUGAGUCCUGAGAUGAAUCUUCCAGGGAGCCACCACAGCUAAGCAAGUGGGGCAGUGGAAAAGGAAUAGAGAAACAGAAGGCCAUUUACCAGAAACAAAACGUGUUGGAGGAGUUACAAAACUGGAGGAGGUUUGAGAGAUUGGCUUCAGCAAAACUGAAGGAAUUUUCAGAUGGACUUGGGCAUCGGGGACAGGUUCAGGAGUUGUUGUCCAUCCCUACUUGCACUCCGACAGAGUGGCUUGUUGGGCCAUUUCAGAAGACAAUUUUGAGCCAAUCACACAUUGCUGAGAGUCUGAAGAUACACAGACCAGAUAUGGAUAAAGGUUUCCUUCCUUAAACGGCUUAUCAAUCGUUGGUUUUCUCAGGAGAAGCGAGACUUGCCCUUGUUACACACAGAAUCGACCCUCUAUUCUGCUCAAGUGUGUCAGAGCCCCAGUGCAAUCUAAAGGGUGAGUGACACACUUCCCAUGGGCCCAUCCUGUCAGCCCUGUUAUAAUACUGUAAUCCAUUUCUAUUAGUUCUGAGCUCAUGGCCAAAAAGUAUUGGAGUCAUUAUUUCACAUGUUCUGAGCAUUACAAACCAGGCCAUCAUUUAUGGUCUAUCUCAAAUUGCCCUUGAGAAAGUGCUGACAAGCUGCUUUCUUGAACUACUAUUGUCCACAUGGUACAGGAGCCAAGUCUUGUGGACUUAAAUAACUUCAGAUCAUGAUACUUGAACAUACUUUAUCUACCUUUGAUAAAUGUUAACAUUUCUUCCAUAAAUUUGUGGGUUAAGGCCCUGGAACAGUAAAAAUGAAAUGACUGUUUGAACUCAACACUGAUUCAAAUGGCCCUUCUGAAUUCAUAUUUACCACCUACGUAUUUCAUCUCUUCUUCACCUGCAAAAAUGGGAUCGGUACGAACUGGAGUGGGAUGUCUGCAACUGGGACCCAUCCACCAUUUUCAAAGGCCAUUAAAGUUGGCCGAACAUGGCAAAAAUAUAGGCCCUAAUACGACAAGGGCCAUUUUAGGAUUAGAAGAGGUAAAAUUUCUUCCAUCACAGGCUGUGAAUCUUUGGAAGUCUUGAUCCCAAAGAGAGUGCUGGAUACCCAGCGCAAUCAAUAAUGAUUUACACCACCACAAACACACUAGAGACAAAAUUCCCCGAGUCCCAAUUCAUUGUGGCUGUCGACAGAUAUCUAACAAUGACAAGUCAAACUAUUGAAGGGAAAUAGAGGAUUUAGUGACGUACUGCAAUGAAAACAAUCUGUCUGUCAACGUCAGCUAAACUAAAGAACUGAUCAUCGAUUUCAGAAAGAAAGGAGGAGAACACACCUCCAAAUCCAUCAACAGAACUGAGGUUGAGACAGUGAAGAACAUCAACCUCCUUGGAAUGAGGAUAACCAACGACCUAUCCUGGUCUUCCCACGUAAAUGCGACAGUCAAAGCAUUACAACAAAGCCUUCUUUCUCAGGCAGCUCAGGAAAUUGGGCAUGUCUAUAAAAGGUCUCUCACCUACUUCCACAGCAUACUUGAAAGCAUACUGUCCAGGUGCAUAAUGGUCUGGCGUGGCAACUGCUCUGCUCAGGACCAUAUAAAAUACAGAAUAUGGUACACAGCCCAGAGCAUCAC